UUACUGGAGUGAUUCCUUCUAAGGGGCUUUUGGGGCUUAAGGGAUCGUCCGUGACUUCCUACAACAUCAACCCUUACCCUUCUUUUGCCGUCGGAUCUAACAUUCAAGAGAGCUCAGACCCAGCCAUUGCCGCAAUGUUCGAAGCUUUAGUCAAUAACAUACCCACUGCA
Ostrinia furnacalis (Asian corn borer) is the source of this 170-nucleotide long non-coding RNA. RefSeq lists it as uncharacterized. Lineage: Eukaryota; Metazoa; Arthropoda; Insecta; Lepidoptera; Crambidae. The transcript is spliced from 2 exons. The record is from RefSeq and is a predicted model, not a curated record.